This 630-nucleotide long non-coding RNA is filed under the name Equus asinus (donkey). RNAcentral describes it as "lncRNA (ENSEASG00005029616.1)". The record is from RNAcentral. Lineage: Eukaryota; Metazoa; Chordata; Mammalia; Perissodactyla; Equidae.
CUCACCACAGGCGUGGCUCAGGAGACAGAGGGGCUAAGAGGGAUGGGGGGAAGGUGGGCACUGUGGUCCUUGAGCGCUGCCUGCAGCCCGAGUAAAAACAGACGCCCCCUCUGCCCCUGCCACCUGCGAGGGGGCGGCCGUGACGGUGGCUACAGUGACGGGGAUGUGCCCGGAGGAGCAUCCGGCAGGGCCCGAGUUGCCAUGGAGAUGCUGACUCAGAGGCAGAGGCAGGUAGCGCAUCUGGUACCCAGCCGGCCCACCCCUGUGCUCAAGGCACCCUGCCCAACCUCACCCCGCAGCCUCCACUCCAGGGACAUCUUCUGAGAUGGAGAAAUAGUCCAAUGUGUCCAUGAUCUGAGGAAGGGUACACGAAACGUGGGCCAUCCACACAACGGAACAACACUCAGCCACAAACAGGAUGAGGCCCCGACCCGCGCCGCCACACGGUUGGCCCUCAAAAGCCUCGUGCUGAGGGGAGAAGCCAGCCCAGAGGGCACAGCGUGUGAGCCCGUCUGUCUGAAGCGUCCAGAACAGGCACACCUGCAGCGACAGAAGCAGACUGGAUAUUAGGGAAAAACUAAGGAAACUGAAGAAAGUAUGGAGUUUAGUUAUUAACGGCCAGCUGGCUGC